UUAUACCUACGGGAGGCAGCAGUGGGGAAUAUUGCACAAUGGGGGAAACCCUGAUACAGCGACGCCGCGUGAGUGAGGAAGUAUUUCGGUAUGUAAAGCUCUAUCAGCAGGGAAGAAAAUGACGGUACCUGACUAAGAAGCCCCGGCUAACUACGUGCCAGCAGCCGCGGUAAUACGUAGGGGGCAAGCGUUAUCCGGAUUUACCGGGUGUAAAGGGAGCGUAGACGGAGGAGCAAGUCUGAUGUGAAAUUCCGGGGCCCAACCCCGGAACUGCAUUGGAAACUGUUUAUCUAGAGUGUCGGAGG
RNAcentral lists this ribosomal RNA (305 nucleotides) under uncultured bacterium. RNAcentral's name for it is "bacterial SSU rRNA". It matches the Rfam family "Bacterial small subunit ribosomal RNA", at positions 333 to 655 of the family's 1533-position model. The record is from RNAcentral.